This 467-nucleotide ribosomal RNA is filed under the name uncultured bacterium. RNAcentral's name for it is "partial 16S ribosomal RNA". It matches the Rfam family "Bacterial small subunit ribosomal RNA", at positions 28 to 506 of the family's 1533-position model. The record is from RNAcentral.
GACGAACGCUGGCGGCGUGCUUAACACAUGCAAGUCGAACGGAAAGACCCUGCUUUUGUGGGGUGCUCGAGUGGCGAACGGGUGAGUAACACGUGAGUAACCUGCCCUUGACUUUGGGAUAACUUCAGGAAACUGGGGCUAAUACCGGAUAGGAGCUCCUGCUGCAUGGUGGGGGUUGGAAAGUUUCGGCGGUUGGGGAUGGACUCGCGGCUUAUCAGCUUGUUGGUGGGGUAGUGGCUUACCAAGGCUUUGACGGGUAGCCGGCCUGAGAGGGUGACCGGCCACAUUGGGACUGAGAUACGGCCCAGACUCCUACGGGAGGCAGCAGUGGGGAAUAUUGCACAAUGGGCGGAAGCCUGAUGCAGCAACGCCGCGUGCGGGAUGACGGCCUUCGGGUUGUAAACCGCUUUCGCCUGUGACGAAGCGUGAGGGACGGGAAUGGGUAAAGAAGCACCGGCUAACUACGU